AAUGAGUUUGUGUAUUUAUUGAUUGAUGAAUUGUUAUUGCUUUUUGCUGUAACUAUCGAUGAAUAGUUACUGCUUUUUGCUGGAAUGAGAUAGGAUCAACAGCAAUAAAGCAUCUAGCUUUUAUUUUUAUAGAUGCAUAUUCUAAGAAGCUCUAGGCAAGUACGUAGGUUAGGUUGCUCUGGAAGGAAGGCUUUUUGUUUUUUUUAAAUGAAAAUUUACUUGAACUCUUUUCAUUGCUUCUGAGUCACAUGUCCCAAAUUGCUCUGUAAUCUUUCACUGAAAAAUAAUUUGGAGAUUUAUCAGAGAAAAGCUUAAUGGAGUUUCAUACUUGACCAUAACUUCCCACUGCCUUUCUUCUAGGACCUCUUCAGGGAGAAAUUGAUGGCUCAAAAGGUUCACCAACACCUCCCGGAUCCCAUCAUCCCCUCAGCCUGAGUGCAGCUCCUACUACUGCUGCUGCUCCGAGGAGCCGGGUUUGUACGUAGUCAGCAGGUAAUAAAUACAUCCGUAGACUGGCUCCUCCAUCUGGACCAACGACCUUGCUUCUAGGUGACUCAGUGAGUGGAGAUCAAGCCUCAGAUGCUCUUUCUGCAGUGGAGUCACAUUCUCAUGUCCUGUCUUCAUCUGUAAACUGUGCAUACCACUGAUAACUACCUGAUUCAAGGCUCAGUUGAAAUGACCCAGGUGAAGCUUCUUCCCAGCAAGGAUCUCAUUAAUGAACUUGGUCCCCUUCUUUGAUGAACGUUUGGACACUGACAGGAACCCAGAAAUUUAAAAAUCGGAAGCCAGUGAUUGGAGUUAUGUUGAAAAAGGCACACCAGGAUCUGGAUUGCUUCUUCUCUGUAAGUUAGAAAUGGCGAC
RNAcentral lists this long non-coding RNA (861 nucleotides) under Sus scrofa (pig). RNAcentral's name for it is "lncRNA (ENSSSCG00055011213.1)". The record is from RNAcentral. Lineage: Eukaryota; Metazoa; Chordata; Mammalia; Artiodactyla; Suidae.